Hordeum vulgare subsp. vulgare (domesticated barley) is the source of this 128-nucleotide non-coding RNA. NCBI's taxonomy places the organism in Eukaryota, Viridiplantae, Streptophyta, Magnoliopsida, Poales, Poaceae. The record is from Rfam.
UCACUACUCUUUCCGUCCCAAAAUUCUUGUCUUAGGUUUGUCUAGAAAUGUAUGUAUCUAAAUAUGAUUAGAUACAUUCAUAUCUAGACAAAUCUAAGACAAGAAUUUUGAGACGGACGGAGUAUGUA